This 746-nucleotide ribosomal RNA is filed under the name uncultured bacterium. RNAcentral's name for it is "bacterial SSU rRNA". It matches the Rfam family "Bacterial small subunit ribosomal RNA", at positions 33 to 773 of the family's 1533-position model. The record is from RNAcentral.
ACGCUGGCGGCAGGCCUAACACAUGCAAGUCGAGCGGUAGAGAGAAGCUUGCUUCUCUUGAGAGCGGCGGACGGGUGAGUAAUGCCUAGGAAUCAGCCUGGUAGUGGGGGAUAACGUCCGGAAACGGACGCUAAUACCGCAUACGUCCUACGGGAGAAAGCAGGGGACCUUCGGGCCUUGCGCUAUCAGAUGAGCCUAGGUCGGAUUAGCUAGUUGGUGGGGUAAUGGCUCACCAAGGCGACGAUCCGUAACUGGUCUGAGAGGAUGAUCAGUCACACUGGAACUGAGACACGGUCCAGACUCCUACGGGAGGCAGCAGUGGGGAAUAUUGGACAAUGGGCGAAAGCCUGAUCCAGCCAUGCCGCGUGUGUGAAGAAGGUCUUCGGAUUGUAAAGCACUUUAAGUUGGGAGGAAGGGCAGUUACCUAAUACGUGAUUGUUUUGACGUUACCGACAGAAUAAGCACCGGCUAACUCUGUGCCAGCAGCCGCGGUAAUACAGAGGGUGCAAGCGUUAAUCGGGAAUUACUGGGCGUAAAGCGCGCGUAGGUGGUUCGUUAAGUUGGAUGUGAAAUCCCCGGGCUCAACCUGGGAACUGCAUUCAAAACUGACGAGCUAGAGUAUGGUAGAGGGUGGUGGAAUUUCCUGUGUAGCGGUGAAAUGCGUAGAUAUAGGAAGGAACACCAGUGGCGAAGGCGACCACCUGGACUGAUACUGACACUGAGGUGCGAAAGCGUGGGGAGCAAAC